UUGCUGUCCACGAGUACGUCAAUAUAUUUAACCUUAUUUUAUUUAAUCUUUUUAAAACCCGUGUACAGGUAUCUUUCUGCGGCAAUUGGUCAUUUGCGUCUAGCAAAAGUGAAGUCCUGUGGUCACAGCUCUUUUGAAUGCUCGCUUAAAGUAACGUUCACCUAGGUUAGCAUAGCAAGUUAACGUUAGCUUUCGCUGUUUCUCGGUUCGUGAAUUAAACAUGUCUCGUUUAAAACCACUUAGACUGCAAAUCUAGUUCGGCUUUCGGAUAAACAUGCAAGCGCCACGGUCUGCAGCUGUGGCCGAAACAGGGCAGCUCGGUGGAAGGGGGAACGCAGCAGCUGUGGGGGACUCCAGUAAUGAUACUAAAACACAUUUUCGAGUCUGCCGCUUCAUCAUCGAGACAGGAGUGAAGUUGGGCAUGCGGUCAGUCCCCGUGGCCACUGCAUGUGCUCUGUACCACAAGUUCUUCCAGACAGCCAGCUUAGAGGUCUAUGAGCCAUACCUAGUAGCUAUGUCCUGCAUAUACCUUGCAGGCAAAGUUGAAGAACAGCACCUCAGGACAAGGGACAUUAUCAAUGUCUGUCACAGGUAUUUCCACCCUGGACGUGAUCCGCUGCAGCUGGACAGCAAGUUCUGGGAGCUGCGAGACAGCGUGGUGCAGUGUGAGCUCCUCAUUCUCAGACAGCUCAACUUUCAAGUGUCCUUUGAGCACCCUCAUAAGUAUUUGCUACACUACCUGCUCUCUGUAAGGUGUUUGCUGAAUCGUCAUGCCUGGUCUCGGACACCCAUCGCGGAAACAGCCUGGGCCCUGCUCAAAGACAGCUAUCAUGGGCCAGUGUGUGUCCAGCAUCGACCCCAGCACCUCGCCCUCACUGCACUGUACCUCGCUCUGCACACAUACGGAGUGCAGGUCCCCAGAGGGGAAAGAGAAUGGUGGCAGGUUCUUUGUGAGGACGUUACCAGAACUCAGAUUGAAGACAUAAUGACCGAACUGCUGCAGCUCUAUGACAUGGAGGCCAAGUGCACAUGAAUGCAAAGCAGAUAAGGACCAAAUUCAGCAUUUUACCCAAAGCCAAACAACUACAGACCAUUCAGAUCAUGGUCCAAAUCCCAGGACAGGUUCUUUUUGAUCGUCUCAUGAUUUGGACCCUACAGUUGGAUUUCAGUGCAGCUAAUGAAGUUGUUAAAGCGGCCGUGCCAGUGUCUGUGCUGGACAGCACUGUCAGGAAGAUGUGAGGUAGGACGGAGAAGGCCGGAGUGUGUGAGUCACCAGGUGACAGUCUGAAAAACAGGCUUUAGCCACAGCACAUCAAUCAGCUCCCAAGCUCAUGCCCUACUUUCUUCUUCUCCUACCUCGUUCCAUUUUCUCCUGGAAGAGAAGAGAGACGGAGAAAGUGAGAGAAAAAAAACAGAAUAAAAGGAGAGAAGUAACAGUGCCAGCCGAUCCCCAGAGCUGGACUGCGACUUGAGAACUUAUCCCUGAGGUUCCCUGCAGUUACGCUACAGUACAGUAUAACACUGUAAAUGAUGGUUGCGUCAGAUGGGAUUGGGUUACAUCAGACUGAAAAUGGAUGGACGGAAGUGUUUAUAAUGUGCUGCGAUUCAUUGUUUUUUCCAGUGUUCUUUCUUUCUUUGGUUGCCAUUAAAGUGUUUUCUGCAUUGAA
Molecule: RNA transcript, 1667 nt
Organism: Pygocentrus nattereri (red-bellied piranha)
Lineage: Eukaryota; Metazoa; Chordata; Actinopteri; Characiformes; Serrasalmidae
Gene: ccnq
Gene name: cyclin Q
Exons: 6
Source: RefSeq, a predicted model, not a curated record